RNAcentral lists this transfer RNA (85 nucleotides) under Acuticoccus sediminis. Its description in RNAcentral is "Acuticoccus sp. PTG4-2 tRNA-Leu". It matches the Rfam family "tRNA". Rfam says of the family: Transfer RNA (tRNA) molecules are approximately 80 nucleotides in length. Their secondary structure includes four short double-helical elements and three loops (D, anti-codon, and T loops). Further hydrogen bonds mediate the characteristic L-shaped molecular structure. tRNAs have two regions of fundamental functional importance: the anti-codon, which is responsible for specific mRNA codon recognition, and the 3' end, to which the tRNAs corresponding amino acid is attached (by aminoacyl-tRNA synthetases). tRNAs cope with the degeneracy of the genetic code in two manners: having more than one tRNA (with a specific anti-codon) for a particular amino acid; and 'wobble' base-pairing, i.e. permitting non-standard base-pairing at the 3rd anti-codon position. Lineage: Bacteria; Pseudomonadati; Pseudomonadota; Alphaproteobacteria; Hyphomicrobiales; Amorphaceae. The record is from RNAcentral.
GCGAGAGUGGCGGAACCGGUAGACGCAGACGACUCAAAAUCGUCCGCCGCAAGGCUUGGGGGUUCGAGUCCCCCCUCUCGCACCA